RNAcentral lists this non-coding RNA (21 nucleotides) under Caenorhabditis elegans. The record is from RNAcentral. Lineage: Eukaryota; Metazoa; Nematoda; Chromadorea; Rhabditida; Rhabditidae.
UCAAAUACUAAAUUAUCUUCA